Molecule: ribosomal RNA, 301 nt
Filed under: uncultured bacterium
Lineage: Bacteria
Description: partial 16S ribosomal RNA
Rfam family: Bacterial small subunit ribosomal RNA
Source: RNAcentral
CAGCAGCCGCGGGAAUACGGAGGGAGCUAGCGUUGUUCGGAAUUACUGGGCGUAAAGCGCACGUAGGCGGCCUUGUAAGUCAGAGGUGAAAGCCUGGAGCUCAACUCCAGAACUGCCUUUGAGACUGCAUCGCUUGAAUCCAGGAGAGGUGAGUGGAAUUCCGAGUGUAGAGGUGAAAUUCGUAGAUAUUCGGAAGAACACCAGUGGCGAAGGCGGCUCACUAGACUGGUAUUGACGCUGAGGUGCGAAAACGUGGGGAGCAAACAGGAUUAGAGACCCCGGUAGUCCCUGUCUCUUAUAC